Molecule: non-coding RNA, 88 nt
Filed under: human gut metagenome
Source: RNAcentral
GUAACUAGGGGAGCAUUUCGCUGAGACACAUUUUAUGUGAACCCUCAUUACUUGAUCCAGAUAAUGCUGGCGAAAGGAAGGAGAUUUU